This 254-nucleotide ribosomal RNA is filed under the name uncultured bacterium. RNAcentral's name for it is "partial 16S ribosomal RNA". It matches the Rfam family "Bacterial small subunit ribosomal RNA", at positions 524 to 776 of the family's 1533-position model. The record is from RNAcentral.
UACGUAGGGUGCAAGCGUUGUCCGGAAUUAUUGGGCGUAAAGAGCUCGUAGGCGGUUUGUCGCGUCUGCUGUGAAAACGCGAGGCUCAACCUCGCGCCUGCAGUGGGUACGGGCAGACUAGAGUGCGGUAGGGGAGAUUGGAAUUCCUGGUGUAGCGGUGGAAUGCGCAGAUAUCAGGAGGAACACCGAUGGCGAAGGCAGAUCUCUGGGCCGUUACUGACGCUGGAGGAGCGAAAGCGUGGGGAGCGAACAGG